UUUUUCUGUGUUUUUUCAUAAUUCUGUCUGUUUAUGAGAAAAUACAGCCUCUGCAUUUGGAGAACAAAAGAGAUUGGAACCCAUGGCACCAGAGACCAAAGCAAGAUGGAGAAAAGAGAUCGACUGGCUCCUAUCUGUCACAGAUCACAUUGUUGAAUUUGCGCCUUCAAAACAAAGGUCGAAAGAUGGAACACAAAUGGAGGUAAUUUAUUUCUUUCUAUUGUAAUGUUUGCCCAAGGGAUAUUCAUUUGAGGAAGCUUAAGUAUGGAUGUUUGUGUGUUUAUCAAUCCAUUUUAAAGAAACGUAAGUUCUUAAUUCAUGAUCAGAUUAUGGUGACAAAGCAACGAACAGAUCUCCAAAUGAACAUCCCUGCCCUACGGAAGCUCGACGCUGUGCUGCUUGUAAGUUAAAAAUUUCUUUAUUUGUGAUUUGUUUCCUGCAUUAGAGUUCAUUUUGUUUCAUUGUUUACUUAUUCAUAUUGUUAAUGAAAAGCAGGAUUGCCUUGAUAACUUUAAAGACCAAAAUGAGUUCUACUACGAAAAGAAUGCCGAUGGGAGGACAGAUGAUAAAUGGUGGAUUCCUACUCCUAAAGUUCCUCCAAAUGGCUUAAGUGAGACGACAAGAAAGUGGCUACAAUCUCAGAAGGAUUCUGUAAGCCAAGUAAUCAAAGCAGCUAUGGCCAUAAACGCUCAGGUCCUGACUGAAAUGGAGGUUCCUGAGAGCUAUGUAGAUACUCUCCCUAAGGUAAUAGGAAUCCAAAAUUAAAUCAUAUGUUGCUAGAAGUCAAGUUUGUAGUAUGUUUGAAACACAGUAAUAGACAGUGAAAUGAACCAGGUUUUAACUUAUUUUUUCAUGAUAGAAUGGGAGAUCAAGCCUUGGAGAUUCAAUCUACAAGAGCAUCACGGAUGAAUACUUUGAUCCGGACAUUUUACUUUCGACUCUGGACUUGUCAUCAGAGCAUAAAAUCCUCGAGUUCAAAAAUAAGAUUGAGGCAUCAGUGAUAAUCUGGAAAAGGAAAAUGAAUGCUAAAGAUAGCAAAUCUUCCUGGAGUUCGGCCGUGAGUUUGGAGAAGAGAGAACUUUUCGAAGACAGAGCAGAGACUAUUUUGCUUAUUCUUAAGCACCGAUUUCCCGGAAUUCCACAAUCUUCUCUAGACAUCAGUAAAAUCCAAUGCAACAGAGUAAGAACUUCUUCUUUCAACCUCUCACUUGACUCUUUUUACAAGUUUCUUCACCGUUCUGUUAAAGUCACUCCUUCCGCAGAAACUAGCACAUAACUUAUAGCACACUUGGCGGGGAAAAUUGAAUUUUGUUGGACAGAACUAAAGACUCAAAUCUUGUUCAUAAUAAUGUUCAGACCUGUCUAGUAAUGUAUACCAAACAGGUACUUAAUGUUCAUUUUUGCUAAAUGUCUGAUCUUUUCUCGGUCUGGCAGGAUGUGGGACAUGCUAUUCUUGAAAGCUAUUCAAGAAUAAUUGAAAGCCUAGCGUUCACAGUGUUGUCGAGAAUAGAAGAUGUCUUACAAGCCGACUCUCUUGCACAGAAUCCAUCAAAUGGAGAACAAAAGAGGUACACCUUAAAAGACCCUUCACCUAUUACAGUGAAAUUUCCAAAUCCUAACGACGAAUUAGAGAAAACAAAUUCAGAUGAAACGCCAACUUCAAUGACACUGCUAGACUUUAUGGGAUGGAAUUUAGAUCAAGGAGAGACUGAUGCAAAGAAAGAUGUUGACUCAAAGGUCCUCCCUAAACCGCUAAACAUUAUGACGAACAAGAAAUUUUCCUACAUAGAGAGGCUAGAGAACCUAGGGGGUGCAAGAAGUCCAACAGCACGCCAUUAAUUGAUUUUGUUGCAGAUGAAUAACUGACAGAACUCGACUCUAGCAUAAAAGCUCAGCCCUAAUGUACGUAUGCAUUUCGGUCUUGCCAUAGAAAUCUAGUAAAAUUCUAGUGCUAGUUCUGUAACUUGGAAGCAUAUGCUGAAUUAUACUCUUGACUUAUUUUGAAAUUGAUCACUUAAUUGUACUCGAGUUACUUUAAAAUUGAAUCAGAUACAACAAGAAUUGUACUGAAAUACUUGUAAUAUUAAACAGUAAAAGUAGAUUCUGAUAUGCUUACAGGCUGUUGAAAUGACACAUUGAACACAAUAAAUUUAUAAAGGUUGAAAAUGUUAUAUCUGGGAAAUUAGAUUUUGCCACGUGGUCCUGGCUUGGGUGGAAGUUGUGGGCCCUUUACAAUAGGUAAAACGUCUCCUGUUGCUUUGGAGCUCACAUAAGCAAUGGUGAUGCCACCUCCCAAUAUCAAGAACUUCAGCAAAAGACCUCUCUUGGUGAAAGGAGCAGCAAAUGUCUCGAAGAACUUGCUCUGUGAUCGUAAAUGAAUGUCAACAACGAAACUACACUAUAAUACUAGCCCAGCACUGAA
This 2422-nucleotide long non-coding RNA is filed under the name Olea europaea subsp. europaea. Lineage: Eukaryota; Viridiplantae; Streptophyta; Magnoliopsida; Lamiales; Oleaceae. The record is from RNAcentral.